UUCCUAUCAUAAUAGGUGCAUGAGACAUGAUAACAGAAUAUUCAGACAAAUACAUAACAACAACACCAGAACUUACAAACACAUAUAACAUACAGAAUAUUGCAAUACUGGGCACAGCACACAUCCUAAACAAAACACUUACAAUACAGUAAUCAUCAGAGCAUCACGGCAAAUCACAGCACAUACCCAAGGCACACUGAGCUGCGCUCGGUAGUGAAGUGAAUGCACGCUACAAAAGUAAAACUAUUGAAUAAUAAUAAUAAUAAUAAUAAUAAU
Octopus sinensis (East Asian common octopus) is the source of this 276-nucleotide long non-coding RNA. RefSeq lists it as uncharacterized. The transcript has 2 exons. The record is from RefSeq and is a predicted model, not a curated record. NCBI's taxonomy places the organism in Eukaryota, Metazoa, Mollusca, Cephalopoda, Octopoda, Octopodidae.